AUUGAACGCUGGCGGCAUGCCUUACACAUGCAAGUCGAACGGCAGCAUGAUCUAGCUUGCUCGAUUGAUGGCGAGUGGCGAACGGGUGAGUAAUACAUCGGAACGUGCCCUGUAGUGGGGGAUAACUAGUCGAAAGAUUAGCUAAUACCGCAUACGACCUGAGGGUGAAAGUGGGGGACCGCAAGGCCUCAUGCUAUAGGAGCGGCCGAUGUCUGAUUAGCUAGUUGGUGAGGUAAAGGCUCACCAAGGCGACGAUCAGCAGCUGGUCUGAGAGGACGAUCAGCCACACUGGGACUGAGACACGGCCCAGACUCCUACGGGAGGCAGCAGUGGGGAAUUUUGGACAAUGGGCGAAAGCCUGAUCCAGCAAUGCCGCGUGUGUGAAGAAGGCCUUCGGGUUGUAAAGCACUUUUGUCCGGAAAGAAAUGGCUCUGGUUAAUACCUGGGGUCGAUGACGGUACCGGAAGAAUAAGAACCGGCUAACUACGUG
This 490-nucleotide ribosomal RNA is filed under the name uncultured bacterium. Its description in RNAcentral is "partial 16S ribosomal RNA". It matches the Rfam family "Bacterial small subunit ribosomal RNA", at positions 30 to 507 of the family's 1533-position model. The record is from RNAcentral.